Molecule: ribosomal RNA, 497 nt
Filed under: uncultured bacterium
Lineage: Bacteria
Description: partial 16S ribosomal RNA
Rfam family: Bacterial small subunit ribosomal RNA
Source: RNAcentral
GAUGAACGCUGGCGGCGUGCCUAGUACAUACAAGUCGAGCGAACGGACGAGAAGCUUGCUUCUCUGAUGUUAGCGGCGGACGUGUGAGUAACACGUGGGUAACCGACCUAUAAGACUGGGAUAAGUUCGGGAAACCGGAGCUAAUACCGGAUGAUAUUUUGAACCGCAUGGUUCAAAAGUGAAAGACGGUCUUGCUGUCACUUAUAGAUGGAUCCGCGCUGCAUUAGCUAGUUGGUAAGGUAACGGCUUACCAAGGCAACGAUGCAUAGCCGACCUGACAGGGUGCUCGGCCACACUAGAUCUGAGACCCGGUCCACACUCCUACGGGAGGCCGCCGUCGGGCAUCUUCCGCCCUGCGCGCAUGCUUGACCCAGCACCGCCGCGUGAGUGAUGAAGCUUCUCGGAGCGUAAAACUCUGUUCUUCGGGAAGAACAUCUGUCUCAGUCACUGUGAACAUCCUGCCGGUACCCUAUCAGAAAGCCACGCCUACCUACGAC